This is an RNA transcript of Lutra lutra (Eurasian river otter), 913 nucleotides long. It is a transcript of the gene named COMM domain containing 6, with no coding region annotated. The transcript is spliced from 5 exons. The record is from RefSeq and is a predicted model, not a curated record. Lineage: Eukaryota; Metazoa; Chordata; Mammalia; Carnivora; Mustelidae.
GCGGUGGGGGAGAGCCGGAGUGCGCAGACGGGAAGAGUCCACGUCUACAGGUUAGAAGGGGAAGAUGGUAUCCUGAAGCUAAUCGGUCCUUCCCCUCACAAGGUAUCUCCAUAACCUUCGGACCUUUCCCCACAUAAAUGUCCUUAAUGAUGAAUAUCUCCUUGAAACUGAUGUUUAAUUGACAGUAAGGGUGAGUUACACAAAUAUGUUUGUUUCCGCUCCCCCCACUUCCGCUGCGUGCGCCAGGCCGCGAGGGGCAGGAGAAGGAAGCGGAAGUGUUGGCGGCCGGGGGUGGGGCAGGCCACCUGGUCAAUCGGUGGUCUGAGCCCUCGUCCCUUGCCAUGGAGGGCUGCAGCGAGCCGCGACUGGAUGCUAAGUCCGAGGUCACCAACCAGUCAUCUAACAAGAUUAUUCAACGCCUUUAUGAGGAAAAUGGCAGUGAGUGCUAGAUGUCCGGUUUCCAGUCUGGCAUAUAAGGAGCUUGGAAUGUGGAAGACAUCACUUCAUCAUAAAAACAAGGAAAAAGCUGAACAAACUGAAGAGCUAACAACUCUUGGAUCCAUCAGAGAAGUGAGGUUCCAAGGCAAACUGCUCCCUUCAAAUUGGAGAGAUAGAGGUGAAUACGGAGAAUUACAAGUCACCAGAAUAGAAAUCUGUGGAAACCAGUGCCAGGCUUGUAGAUUUUCAGUGGAAGCUGGGUAUGGCUGUGAGCUCGGACAGUUGCAGAUCUCUUAAGUAUCCUUAUGUUGCGGUGUUGCUGAAAGUGGCAGAUCAUUCUGGCCAAGUAAAGAACAAGUCCUUUGAAAUGACAAUUCCACAAUUUCAGAAUUUCUACAGACAGUUCAAGGAAAUUGCUGCAGUUAUAGAAACUGUGUGAAAACUGAUUACUUGGCUGAUAAAUUACUACCGUCAU